AUGGCAUCAAAAAAUUUGAGACAUUGGAUGUCUGAUUCACAAGUUGGCAUAUUUAUGCUAUGGUCACUUAUGAAUUGUGCAUCUGAGCUUCUCAUUUUUGUCUAUGGUAGACAAAGUGUGAUCUUAAAAUGUGAUUUACACUUGGAUAGCUCUUUCAAUCUUAAUUUCAUUGGAUUCUUUGAUAGAUUUAUGUAUUUAUGCUUGUUUUCUGAUUCCCCUUUUCUCAGUAAUCUGUAUUUAUGCAUCUUGUUGUUCCUGAUGUCGUAG
RNAcentral lists this ribosomal RNA (267 nucleotides) under Triticum aestivum (bread wheat). Its description in RNAcentral is "partial small subunit ribosomal RNA". Lineage: Eukaryota; Viridiplantae; Streptophyta; Magnoliopsida; Poales; Poaceae. The record is from RNAcentral.